Molecule: long non-coding RNA, 1173 nt
Organism: Equus quagga
Lineage: Eukaryota; Metazoa; Chordata; Mammalia; Perissodactyla; Equidae
Exons: 3
Source: RefSeq, a predicted model, not a curated record
UCCCCAAAGCCCCAGUGAAUGGUUAUAUAUCCUAGUUGUACACACCUAAGAGAGGACUGUCUGGGUCAGAUGUCUCUAAGCGUCAGGAAUCCGAGUGGAGCUUAGCUGGUGUGGCUGGCAGCAUUGGCCCAUCCGAGCUUGAGGCCGCUUUGGAGUAGUGCCGGAUACGGGAAAACUGGAGAGAAGAAGGAAUAAGAGAGCAGAGGGCUGGAAAAGGGGACAGAAGGAAAGACGAGUUAAGGGACUGGAAAGAAUCAGUGUUUGGAAGAAGGCGGUUGUUGCUAAACCACUUUUCAGGCUGUACUUCUGCUGGAUGGAGGAGCUUCAAUCGUCUUGAUCAAUGCGCCUGUAUCAGGCUUUGAACAGGAGCUAUAGAUAUGUUAGUUCAUUUACUCAAUCCUGCAACAGUCCCACCUCCCAGAUUUAGAAACUGAGAUCUGAAAAGUUAAGUAAGACUUGGCCAAGACCAUAUACCUGAGAUGGCUUUCCUCCCCCAGAGCCUGUGACCUUUCACGAUGGUACCCGAGUAUAUUCCUGUGUUACUCUGCUUCCGACUCUGCCUCACAGCAUCCUUUGCCUCCUGGGUCCGUGAGACGUCUUCUAGGAAGUUCUAGUGGACAGUAAGAAAGACAAAUCCUCUGGUCUCCCUGGUCUCUAGUUAUGGCAGCCUGCGUUCUCUUUGAAGACUGAGCUGUGUUACGGAACUCCCUCCUCCCCCGACUCUAACAGGCUUAGUGGCCUCUGUGAGGUCUGCCUCAAUCAGUGAAAGGACAGUAGGUCUCUGCUUCUGGCUGCCUCCGUGAAUGAUUUCUGCCCCGUAGUGGAAGAGUCACUGGUGGCUCGGCCUGAGAUGUCCUCUACCUGGUCAGCAUCCUCUGAUGUAACACCCCUAGACACAGUGAAUCUUGGAUAUGAAGCUGCUUCGAGUUUGAGCUUCACGUAGUGAGUGGUUUGGGCAGGUCCACUGUCCCUCCAGCCUCAGUUCCUUCAGCUGUUGAACUGAGGAGGAAGAGGUGGCUGAAUUAGUGGUUCUUUCUCCAUGGAAGUGAAGACUGAGAAGUAUGCUCCAGUCCGUAGGAGCUCUAGGCAUUGUCUAUGGAUUAAAUAGUUUGUCCGUCUUGCGUAUAUACACAUGACUACAUUUCAAAUGUGUGUAAAGCUGUGUGAGAAAUA